Molecule: ribosomal RNA, 253 nt
Filed under: uncultured bacterium
Lineage: Bacteria
Description: partial 16S ribosomal RNA
Rfam family: Bacterial small subunit ribosomal RNA
Source: RNAcentral
UACAGGGGGUGCAAACGUUGCUCGGAAUCAUUGGGCGUAAAGCGUACGUAGGCGGCCCAGCAAGUCGGGUGUGAAAGCCCUCGGCUUAACCGAGGAAGUGCAUUCGAAACUACUGGGCUUGAAUACUGGAGAGGAUCGCGGAAUUCCCGGUGUAGAGGUGAAAUUCGUAGAUAUCGGGAGGAACACCAGUGGCGAAGGCGGCGAUCUGGACAGAUAUUGACGCUGAUGUACGAAAGCGUGGGGAGCAAACAGG